ACGUAGGGUGCGAGCGUUAAUCGGAAUUACUGGGCGUAAAGCGUGCGCAGGCGGUUGUGUAAGACAGAUGUGAAAUCCCCGGGCUCAACCCCGGAACUGCCAUUGAUACUGCAAGACUAGAGAUCGGCAGAGGUUGAUAGAAUAUCAGGUGUAGCAGUGAAAUGCGUAGAUAUGAGGAAGAAUACCGAUGGCGAAGGCAGCCACCUGGGCCGAUUCUGACGCUCAUGCACGAAAGCGUGGGUAGCAAACAU
RNAcentral lists this ribosomal RNA (251 nucleotides) under uncultured prokaryote. Its description in RNAcentral is "partial 16S rRNA". It matches the Rfam family "Bacterial small subunit ribosomal RNA", at positions 525 to 775 of the family's 1533-position model. The record is from RNAcentral.